UGGACCGGAGACAGGUGCUGCAUGGCUGUCGUCAGCUCGUGUCGUGAGAUGUUGGGUUAAGUCCCGCAACGAGCGCAACCCCCGUCCUUAGUUGCUACCAUUUAGUUGAGCACUCUAAGGAGACUGCCGGUGAUAAGCCGCGAGGAAGGUGGGGAUGACGUCAAGUCCUCAUGGCCCUUACGGGCUGGGCUACACACGUGCUACAAUGGCGGUGACAAUGGGAAGCGAAGACGCAAGUCCUAGCAAAUCUCAAAAAGCCGUCUCAGUUCGGAUUGGGCUCUGCAACUCGAGCCCAUGAAGUUGGAAUCGCUAGUAAUCGUGGAUCAGCAUGCCACGGUGAAUACGUUCCCGGGCCUUGUACACACCGCCCGUCACACCAUGGGAGUUGGUUUUACCUGAAGACGGUGCGCUAACCGAAAGGGGGCAGCCGGCCACGGUAGGGUCAGCGACUGGGGUGAAGUCGUAACAA
Molecule: ribosomal RNA, 469 nt
Filed under: uncultured Pseudomonadota bacterium
Lineage: Bacteria; Pseudomonadati; Pseudomonadota
Description: bacterial SSU rRNA
Rfam family: Bacterial small subunit ribosomal RNA
Source: RNAcentral